GGAGAGGUCGCAUAGAGGCCGAGUGCGCGCGCUUGGAAAGCGCGUAUGCCGUAAGGUAUCGCGGGUUCGAAUCCCGCCCUCUCCGCCA
Molecule: transfer RNA, 88 nt
Filed under: Parcubacteria group bacterium CG1_02_40_25
Lineage: Bacteria
Also listed under: 2 other names
Description: tRNA-Ser
Rfam family: tRNA
About the family: Transfer RNA (tRNA) molecules are approximately 80 nucleotides in length. Their secondary structure includes four short double-helical elements and three loops (D, anti-codon, and T loops).
Source: RNAcentral